RNAcentral lists this ribosomal RNA (1135 nucleotides) under Escherichia coli. Its description in RNAcentral is "partial 23S ribosomal RNA". It matches the Rfam family "Bacterial large subunit ribosomal RNA", at positions 614 to 1751 of the family's 2925-position model. Lineage: Bacteria; Pseudomonadati; Pseudomonadota; Gammaproteobacteria; Enterobacterales; Enterobacteriaceae. The record is from RNAcentral.
AAUGGGUCAGCGACUUAUAUUCUGUAGCAAGGUUAACCGAAUAGGGGAGCCGAAGGGAAACCGAGUCUUAACUGGGCGUUAAGUUGCAGGGUAUAGACCCGAAACCCGGUGAUCUAGCCAUGGGCAGGUUGAAGGUUGGGUAACACUAACUGGAGGACCGAACCGACUAAUGUUGAAAAAUUAGCGGAUGACUUGUGGCUGGGGGUGAAAGGCCAAUCAAACCGGGAGAUAGCUGGUUCUCCCCGAAAGCUAUUUAGGUAGCGCCUCGUGAAUUCAUCUCCGGGGGUAGAGCACUGUUUCGGCAAGGGGGUCAUCCCGACUUACCAACCCGAUGCAAACUGCGAAUACCGGAGAAUGUUAUCACGGGAGACACACGGCGGGUGCUAACGUCCGUCGUGAAGAGGGAAACAACCCAGACCGCCAGCUAAGGUCCCAAAGUCAUGGUUAAGUGGGAAACGAUGUGGGAAGGCCCAGACAGCCAGGAUGUUGGCUUAGAAGCAGCCAUCAUUUAAAGAAAGCGUAAUAGCUCACUGGUCGAGUCGGCCUGCGCGGAAGAUGUAACGGGGCUAAACCAUGCACCGAAGCUGCGGCAGCGACGCUUAUGCGUUGUUGGGUAGGGGAGCGUUCUGUAAGCCUGCGAAGGUGUGCUGUGAGGCAUGCUGGAGGUAUCAGAAGUGCGAAUGCUGACAUAAGUAACGAUAAAGCGGGUGAAAAGCCCGCUCGCCGGAAGACCAAGGGUUCCUGUCCAACGUUAAUCGGGGCAGGGUGAGUCGACCCCUAAGGCGAGGCCGAAAGGCGUAGUCGAUGGGAAACAGGUUAAUAUUCCUGUACUUGGUGUUACUGCGAAGGGGGGACGGAGAAGGCUAUGUUGGCCGGGCGACGGUUGUCCCGGUUUAAGCGUGUAGGCUGGUUUUCCAGGCAAAUCCGGAAAAUCAAGGCUGAGGCGUGAUGACGAGGCACUACGGUGCUGAAGCAACAAAUGCCCUGCUUCCAGGAAAAGCCUCUAAGCAUCAGGUAACAUCAAAUCGUACCCCAAACCGACACAGGUGGUCAGGUAGAGAAUACCAAGGCGCUUGAGAGAACUCGGGUGAAGGAACUAGGCAAAAUGGUGCCGUAACUUCGGGAGAAGGCACGC